This 76-nucleotide transfer RNA is filed under the name Altericroceibacterium spongiae. RNAcentral describes it as "Altererythrobacter sp. HN-Y73 tRNA-Lys". It matches the Rfam family "tRNA". From Rfam's summary of the family: Transfer RNA (tRNA) molecules are approximately 80 nucleotides in length. Their secondary structure includes four short double-helical elements and three loops (D, anti-codon, and T loops). The record is from RNAcentral. Lineage: Bacteria; Pseudomonadati; Pseudomonadota; Alphaproteobacteria; Sphingomonadales; Erythrobacteraceae.
GGACGCAUAGCUCAGUUGGCAGAGCAGCUGACUCUUAAUCAGCGGGUCCUAGGUUCGAGCCCUAGUGCGUCCACCA